AGAGUAAUGUCUGGGAAACUGCCUGAUGGAGGGGGAUAACUACUGGAAACGGUAGCUAAUACCGCAUAACGUCGCAAGACCAAAGAGGGGGACCUUCGGGCCUCUUGCCAUCAGAUGUGCCCAGAUGGGAUUAGCUAGUAGGUGGGGUAAUGGCUCACCUAGGCGACGAUCCCUAGCUGGUCUGAGAGGAUGACCAGCCACACUGGAACUGAGACACGGUCCAGACUCCUACGGGAGGCAGCAGUGGGGAAUAUUGCACAAUGGGCGCAAGCCUGAUGCAGCCAUGCCGCGUGUGUGAAGAAGGCCUUCGGGUUGUAAAGCACUUUCAGCGAGGAGGAAGGUGGUGAGCUUAAUACGCUCAUCAAUUGACGUUACUCGCAGAAGAAGCACCGGCUAACUCCGUGCCAGCAGCCGCGGUAAUACGGAGGGUGCAAGCGUUAAUCGGAAUUACUGGGCGUAAAGCGCACGCAGGCGGUUUGUUAAGUCAGAUGUGAAAUCCCCGGG
This 504-nucleotide ribosomal RNA is filed under the name uncultured bacterium. RNAcentral describes it as "bacterial SSU rRNA". It matches the Rfam family "Bacterial small subunit ribosomal RNA", at positions 107 to 607 of the family's 1533-position model. The record is from RNAcentral.